RNAcentral lists this ribosomal RNA (503 nucleotides) under uncultured bacterium. RNAcentral's name for it is "partial 16S ribosomal RNA". It matches the Rfam family "Bacterial small subunit ribosomal RNA", at positions 28 to 523 of the family's 1533-position model. The record is from RNAcentral.
GAUGAACGCUAGCGACAGGCCUAACACAUGCAAGUCGAGGGGCAGCAUGAAAGUAGCUUGCUACUUUUGAUGGCGACCGGCGCACGGGUGCGUAACAGGUGUGCAAUCUGUCCAUAAUCGGGGAAUAGCCCAGCGAAAGUUGGAUUAAUGCUCCAUGUGAGUUUUAGAGGCAUCUCUUUAACUUGAAACGUAAGGAUUAUGGGUGAGCACGCUUCUGAUUAGGUAGUUGGUGAGGUAACGGCUCACCAAGCCGACGAUCAGUAGGGGUUCUGAGAGGAAGGUCCCCCACAUUGGAACUGAGACACGGUCCAAACUCCUACGGGAGGCAGCAGUGAGGAAUAUUGGUCAAUGGACGCAAGUCUGAACCAGCCAAGUCGCGUGAAGGAUGAAGGUUCUAUGGAUUGUAAACUUCUUUUGUCUGAGGGUAAAAAAGCGGACGUGUCCGUUCUUGCAAGUAUCAGACGAAUAAGCAUCGGCUAACUCCGUGCCAGCCGCCGCCGUAA